CAGCCGUAAACUAUGCUCGCUAGGUGUCAGGCAUGGCGCGACCGUGUCUGGUGCCGCAGGGAAGCCGUGAAGCGAGCCACCUGGGAAGUACGGCCGCAAGGCUGAAACUUAAAGGAAUUGGCGGGGGAGCACAACAACGGGUGGAGCCUGCGGUUUAAUUGGACUCAACGCCGGACAACUCACCGGAUAAGACAGCUGAAUGAUUGUCAAUCUGAAGGUUUACAUGACUAGCUGAGAGGAGGUGCAUGGCGUCAGUGACU
This 260-nucleotide ribosomal RNA is filed under the name uncultured archaeon. Its description in RNAcentral is "partial 16S ribosomal RNA". It matches the Rfam family "Archaeal small subunit ribosomal RNA", at positions 748 to 1008 of the family's 1478-position model. The record is from RNAcentral.